GUUGCCAGCGGUUAGAGCCGGGCACUCUAGAGAGACUACCGAUGACAAACCGGAGGAAGGUAGGGAUGACGUCAAGUCAGCAUGCCCCUUACCUCCUGGGCUACACACGUACUACAAUGCUACGGACAAAGGGCAGCAAGCGUGCGAACGCAAGCAAAUCCCAGAAACCGUGGCUCAGUUCAGAUUGCAGGUUGCAACUCGCGUGCAAGAGCGCAGAAUCGCUAGUAAUUGCAGGUC
This 237-nucleotide ribosomal RNA is filed under the name uncultured cyanobacterium. RNAcentral describes it as "partial 16S ribosomal RNA". It matches the Rfam family "Bacterial small subunit ribosomal RNA", at positions 1114 to 1350 of the family's 1533-position model. The record is from RNAcentral. Lineage: Bacteria; Bacillati; Cyanobacteriota.